AUCAUGGCUCAGGAUGAACGCUGGCGGCGUGCCUAAUACAUGCAAGUCGAACGAACUUCCGUUAAUUGAUUAUGACGUACUUGUACUGAUUGAGAUUUUAACACGAAGUGAGUGGCGAACGGGUGAGUAACACGUGGGUAACCUGCCCAGAAGUAGGGGAUAACACCUGGAAACAGAUGCUAAUACCGUAUAACAGAGAAAACCGCAUGGUUUUCUUUUAAAAGAUGGCUCUGCUAUCACUUCUGGAUGGACCCGCGGCGUAUUAGCUAGUUGGUGAGGUAAAGGCUCACCAAGGCAGUGAUACGUAGCCGACCUGAGAGGGUAAUCGGCCACAUUGGGACUGAGACACGGCCCAGACUCCUACGGGAGGCAGCAGUAGGGAAUCUUCCACAAUGGACGCAAGUCUGAUGGAGCAACGCCGCGUGAGUGAAGAAGGGUUUCGGCUCGUAAAGCUCUGUUGUUAAAGAAGAACGUGGGUAAGAGUAACUGUUUACCCAGUGACGGUAUUUAACCAGAAAGCCACGGCUAACUACGUGCCAGCAGCCGCGGUAAUACGUAGGUGGCAAGCGUUAUCCGGAUUUAUUGGGCGUAAAGCGAGCGCAGGCGGUCUUUUAAGUCUAAUGUGAAAGCCUUCGGCUCAACCGAAGAAGUGCAUUGGAAACUGGGAGACUUGAGUGCAGAAGAGGACAGUGGAACUCCAUGUGUAGCGGUGAAAUGCGUAGAUAUAUGGAAGAACACCAGUGGCGAAGGCGGCUGUCUGGUCUGCAACUGACGCUGAG
Molecule: ribosomal RNA, 779 nt
Filed under: Pediococcus pentosaceus
Lineage: Bacteria; Bacillati; Bacillota; Bacilli; Lactobacillales; Lactobacillaceae
Description: bacterial SSU rRNA
Rfam family: Bacterial small subunit ribosomal RNA
Source: RNAcentral